This 433-nucleotide ribosomal RNA is filed under the name uncultured bacterium. RNAcentral's name for it is "partial 16S ribosomal RNA". It matches the Rfam family "Bacterial small subunit ribosomal RNA", at positions 29 to 507 of the family's 1533-position model. The record is from RNAcentral.
AACGAACGCUGGCGGCAGGCUUAACACAUGCAAGUCGAGCGAGACCUUCGGGUCUAGCGGCGGACGGGUGUGUAACGCGUGGGAACGUGCCCUUCUCUACGGCAUAGCCCCGGGAAACUGGGAGUAAUACCGUAUACGCCCUUUGGGGGAAAGAUUUAUCGGCGAAGGGUCGGCCCGCGUUGGAUUAGGUAGUUGGUUGGGUAAUGGCCCACCAAGCCGCCGAUCCAUAGCUGGUUUGAGAGGAUGAUCAGCCACACUGGGACUGAGACACGGCCCAGACUCCUACGGGAGGCAGCAGUGGGGAAUCUUAGACAAUGGGGGCAACCCUGAGCUAGCCAUGCCGCGUGAGUGAUGAAGGCCUUAGGGUUGUAAAGCUCUUUCAGCUGGGAAGAUAAUGACGGUACCAGCAGAAGAAGCCCCGGCUAACUCCGUG